Molecule: long non-coding RNA, 3750 nt
Filed under: Salmo salar (Atlantic salmon)
Lineage: Eukaryota; Metazoa; Chordata; Actinopteri; Salmoniformes; Salmonidae
Description: lncRNA (ENSSSAG00000101079.1)
Source: RNAcentral
CAUCAGUCUGUGUUUAUAACAGGGUCUACAUUUCAUCAGUCUGUUAUAACAGGGUCUACAUUUCAUCAGUCUGUGUUUAUAACAGGUCUACAUUUCAUCAGUCUGUGUUUAUAACAGGGUCUACAUUUCAUCAGUCUGUGUUUAUAACAGGUCUACAUUUCAUCAGUCUGUUAUAACAGGUCUACAUUUCAUCAGUCUGUUAUAACAGGGUCUACAUUUCAUCAGUCUGUGUUUAUAACAGGGUCUACAUUUCAUCAGUCUGUGUUUAUAACAGGGUCUACAUUUCAUCAGUCUGUGUUUAUAACAGGGUCUACAUAUCAUCAGUCUGUGUUUAUAACAGGGUCUACAUAUCAUCAGUCUGUGUUUAUAACAGGGUCUACAUUUCAUCAGUCUGUGUUUAUAACAGGGUCUACAUUUCAUCAGUCUGUGUUUAUAACAGGUCUACAUUUCAUCAGUCUGUGUUUAUAACAGGUCUACAUUUCAUCAGUCUUUUGUUGCAGGACAUCUUCACCAUGGGUUCAAUCUGAAAUGAGUUAUUUCACAGAGUUACUCUUUAGGAGGUCCGUUACAUAUGAUAUGUCAGAUUUCUGAAAAAGUCAAUUUACUUUAAAUAAUCAGAACAUUAUAUCUGUAUCAACCACCUUUUAACUUGGCGCUAGAACGUUCUGUCCGUAUCAACCACCUUUUAACUUGGCGCUAGAACGUUCUGUCUGUAUCAACCACCUUUUAACUUGGUGCUACUUUCUGUUGAGAAGCAAUUGCUUGCUAUGAUUAAGGUUGGGUUAGGGAUCGCUGAAACGGCAUCGUGGACUAACGGCUCUCUCCAAUCUGGAUCGCUGAAACAGCAUCACGGCUCUCUCCAAUCUCGAUCGCUGAAGCAAUAUAAUUUUUUUUGAGACAACAUGUGAAUGCAGUUUCUAUCAGGCUGUAAUGCUGAAUUUCAGCAAUACAGAUUGGAUAGAACCAGUAAUGUUCAAAGUCUGUUGCUGUACCAUUACAAUAAUGGUCAAAUUAAGAUCCUAUAACCUGGUGGAGUUAUUUUAUGGUCUUAUCCACAUUGAGGCAGAAUGAUAUUAAAACACAUUUAGGAGGCAGGAAGAGAGCCCGUAUGAUAUUAAAACACAUUUAGGAGGCAGAAAGAGAGCCCAUAUGAUAUUAAAACACAUUGAGGAGGCAGGAAGAGAGCCCGUAUGAUAUUAAAACACAUUUAGGAGGCAGAAAGAGAGCCCGUAUGAUAUUGGAAUGAUACAUUCAUCUCUAUGGCCUGAUUCAUUUCACUACUACUAGCAGCAUUUAGCGUUACUGUGUCUUUACAACCCCCCUCUGCCACCUGUUGGUUCAGAUUCAAAAUGGCACCCUAUUCUCUACCAGAGAGCUGGUCCAAAGUAGUGUACUAGAUAGGGAAUAGGGUGUCAUAGAGCCCUGGUUCAAAGUAGUGUACUAGAUAGGGAAUAGGGUGCCAUAGAGCCUUGAUCCAAAGUAGUGUACUAAAUAGGGAAUAGGGUGCCGUUUGGUGUUGAACCCUAGAAGCCAGUGUAAUUGACUGACAGGUCACUACAGUAAAGAGUUACACAUCAUGGUUUGUCGUUGUUGUGGCAAAUUAUUUACACUUUGACUUCUGUGGUCGAAGUUGAUAGAUUUGACUGAUGAAAUGGACCAAAAUUGGAUCAUGUCCUCUACAGACCCAGGGGACAGCCCGGCGGUGUUCAGUAGGGAAACUCUACAGCCCGGCGGUGUUCAGGUGGGAACACCAUAGCGUGUUUGAAACCAGGUACUACCUUGAAGUUGUUAAACACUAAAUUAACGUUUCUUAUUGUACAAGAUGGGGCUGCAUCUCCCCUGUUUCAUAAUGUUUUAUCCAUAAUGAACAGCACCCAGGCUACCCCCUCAACACGCUACAGGUCAAACUAGGAGAUUAAAAGAACACACAUUAUGAUUCUGAAGACUAGAAAGCAUCGUCUCUGUUGAUGUGUUUGUAAAUGAAGUAUCAUUCCCUCGUGGCAUAACACCAGUAGGAUGUGGAAACGGGGUGUGAUGGACAUGAUAAGAUGUUACUGAAGGCUCUUUCUACCCUGGAUUCUAUUACAUUCUAUAUAGCAUUCUAUUACAUUCUAUAUAGCACUCUAUUGGAUUCUAUUACAUUCUAUAUAGCAUUCUAUUAGAUUCUUUAUUGGAUUCUAUAUAGCAUUCUAUUAGAUUCUAUAUAGCAUUCUAUUAGAUUCUUUAUUGGAUUCUAUAUAGCAUUCUAUUAGAUUCUAUAUAGCAUUCUAUUAGAUUCUAUAUAGCAUUCUAUUAGAUUCUUUAAUGGAUUCUAUAUAGCAUUCUAUUAGAUUCUAUAUAGCAUUCUAUUAGAUUCUUUAUUGGAUUCUAUAUAGCAUUCUAUUAGAUUCUUUAUAGCAUUCUAUUAGAUUUAAUAUUGGAUUCUAUAUAGCAUUCUAUUAGAUUCUAUAUAGCAUUCUAUUAGAUUCUAUAUAGCAUUCUAUUAGAUUCUAUAUAGCAUUCUAUUAGAUUCUAUAUAGCAUUCUAUUAGAUUCUUUAUUGGAUUCUAUAUAGCAUUCUAUUAGAUUCUAUAUAGCAUUCUAUUGGAUUGUAUAUAGCAUUCUAUUAGAUUCUAUAGGAUUCUAUAUAGCAUUAUAUUGGAUUCUAUAGAGCAUUCUAUUAGAUUCUACAUAGCAUUAUAUUGGAUUCUAUAGAGCAUUCUAUUAGAUUAUAUAUAGCAUUAUAUUAGAUUCUAUAUAGCAUUAUAUUGGAUUCUAUAUAGCAUUAUAUUAGAUUCUAUAGAGCAUUAUAUUAGAUUCUAUAGAGCAUUAUAUUAGAUUCUAUAGAGCAUUAUAUUAGAUUCUAUAGAGCAUUAUAUUGGAUUCUAUAGAGCAUUAUAUUAGAUUCUAUAGAGCAUUCUAUUGGAUUCUAUAGAGCAUUCUAUUAGAUUCUAUAUAGCAUUCUAUAUAGCAUUCUAUUGGAUUCUAUAUAGCAUUCUAUUGGAUUCUAUAGCAUUCUAUUGGAUUCUAUAUAGCAUUCUAUUGGAUUCUAUAUAGCAUUCUAUUGGAUUCUAUACCAUUCUAUUCUACCCCAACAGCAGCUUCUGUUUGUCUUUGUUGUUUCCAUAGAGACAGAGCCCUCCCAGCCUGGGCUCAUCAUAGGAGUUUGGUCUUAUUAAAUGUAUUUUAUAUUAAAGUGACUUCUUGUCCCCUGUGAUCAUUGGUCCUGGUAACUGUAUAGGUCAAUGUCUGCGUCCCCCAUUCUCCACCCUUAAUCCCCAAGUGUACACUUUGUCUUGCACACUUUCUCGCGUGGAUUUAACAACAAAAAAAUGUUGGAAAUUCCCAGCCUCCAGCCAAUGCAUACACCAAUCUUAUGUGAAGUGCACACUUGUGGGGGAAAAAAAGGGUGUAGACUCGGGACACAGCCUAGGAAUGAAAGUGCUAGUUGACGUGAAGGAGACUGUGGGGUUUCUGGGGAUCUGGUGCCACCUGCUGGUGAACCACAGCUCAGUGUCUGUAUUCAUAAAGCGUCUCAGGGUAGGAGUGCUGAUCCAGGAUCAGUUUGGCCUUUUUCCAAUCAUGAUGAAUAAGGUCAGGAAGGCACCUGAUCCUAGAUCAGAACAGAGAGACAUUUACAAAAAAACAGGUGUAGAUCUACUACUACUACAAAGGGUCUGGUAACUCCACAGUCCUGGAGAGAGAUGGUGUCUGGUAACUCCACAGUCCUGGAGAGAGAUGGUGUCUGGUAACUCCACAGUCCUGGAGAGAG